CGGAUGAACGCUGGCGGCAUGCCUAAUACAUGCAAGUCAAACGGGUGUAGCAAUACACAAGUGGCGAACGGGUGAGUAACACAUAGACAACUUGUCCUUAAGACGAGGAUAACAGUUGGAAACGACUGCUAAAACUGGAUAGGAUAAAGUAACGCAUGUUAAGAUAUUUAAAGAUGCUUUUGGGCAUUACUUAAGGAGGGGUCUAUGUCGCAUUAGCUAGUUGGUGAGGUAAGGGCUCACCAAGGCGACGAUGCGUAGCUGUGCUGAGAGGCAAAACAGCCACACUGGGACUGAGACACGGCCCAGACUCCUACGGGAGGCAGCAGUGGGGAAUAUUGCACAAUGGGCGAAAGCCUGAUGCAGCGACGCCGCGUGAGGGACGACGGCCUUCGGGUUGUAAACCUCUUUCAGCAGGGACGAAGCGAAAGUGACUGUACCUGCAGAAGAAGCACCGGCUAACUACGUG
This 466-nucleotide ribosomal RNA is filed under the name uncultured bacterium. Its description in RNAcentral is "bacterial SSU rRNA". It matches the Rfam family "Bacterial small subunit ribosomal RNA", at positions 27 to 507 of the family's 1533-position model. The record is from RNAcentral.